GUUGCCCCUAGAGGCAGUGUAGAUGUAGCUGCUGUGUCACCUGUGCAUUAGUUGGUGGCAGAAUAGAGACGCUACAUCUAUGAUCAGUAUUCUGACCUGUGAACAUCUGAAUGAUAGUAGCCUAAUGUU
Molecule: small nucleolar RNA, 129 nt
Organism: Mastomys coucha (southern multimammate mouse)
Lineage: Eukaryota; Metazoa; Chordata; Mammalia; Rodentia; Muridae
Product: small nucleolar RNA SNORA17
Exons: 1
Source: RefSeq, a predicted model, not a curated record